RNAcentral lists this ribosomal RNA (377 nucleotides) under uncultured eukaryote. Its description in RNAcentral is "partial 18S ribosomal RNA". It matches the Rfam family "Eukaryotic small subunit ribosomal RNA", at positions 592 to 976 of the family's 1831-position model. The record is from RNAcentral.
CAAUAGCGUAUAUUUAAGUUGCUGCAGUUAAAAAGCUCGUAGUUGGAUUUCGGGUGGGAAUGGCCGGUCCGCCGUUUCGGUGUGCACUUGCUACGCCCACCUUGCUGCCGGGGACGUGCUCUUGAGUUCACGCUCGGGACACGGAGUCGGCGAGGUUACUUUGAAUAAAUUAGAGUGUUCAAAGCAGGCCUACGCUCUGAAUACAUUAGCAUGGAAUAACACGAUAGGACUCUGGCCUAUCUUGUUGGUCUGUAGGACCGGAGUAAUGAUUAAGAGGGACAGUCGGGGGCAUUCGUAUUUCAUUGUCAGAGGUGAAAUUCUUGGAUUUAUGAAAGACGAACUACUGCGAAAGCAUUUGCCAAGGAUGUUUUCAUUAA